Molecule: ribosomal RNA, 315 nt
Filed under: uncultured bacterium
Lineage: Bacteria
Description: bacterial SSU rRNA
Rfam family: Bacterial small subunit ribosomal RNA
Source: RNAcentral
UGGGAGUAAUACCGUAUGUGGUCGAGAGACGAAAGAUUUAUCGCCAAGGGAUCGGCCCGCGUUGGAUUAGGUAGUUGGUGGGGUAAUGGCCUACCAAGCCGACGAUCCAUAGCUGGUUUGAGAGGAUGAUCAGCCACACUGGGACUGAGACACGGCCCAGACUCCUACGGGAGGCAGCAGUGGGGAAUCUUAGACAAUGGGGGAAACCCUGAUCUAGCCAUGCCGCGUGAUCGAUGAAGGCCUUAGGGUUGUAAAGAUCUUUCAGGUGGGAAGAUAAUGACUGUACCACCAGAAGAAGCCCCGGCUAACUCCGUG